CCUACGGGUGGCUGCAGUGGGGAAUUGUUCGCAAUGGGCGCAAGCCUGACGACGCAACGCCGCGUGGAGGAUGAAGGUCUUCGGAUCGUAAACUCCUGUUGCGGACGGUACGGUACCAGGUGAGGAAGCCCCGGCUAACUCUGUGCCAGCAGCCGCGGUAAUACAGAGGGGGCAAGCGUUGUUCGGAAUUACUGGGCGUAAAGGGCGCGUAGGCGGCCUGUUAAGUCGAACGUGAAAUCCCCGGGCUCAACCCGGGAACUGCGUCCGAUACUGGCAGGCUUGAAUCCGGGAGAGGGAUGCGGAAUUCCAGGUGUAGCGGUGAAAUGCGUAGAUAUCUGGAGGAACACCGGUGGCGAAGGCGGCAUCCUGGACCGGAUUGACGCUGAGGCGCGAAAGCCAGGGGAGCAAACGGGAUUAGAUACCCGUGUAGUC
This 432-nucleotide ribosomal RNA is filed under the name uncultured bacterium. RNAcentral describes it as "partial 16S ribosomal RNA". It matches the Rfam family "Bacterial small subunit ribosomal RNA", at positions 338 to 795 of the family's 1533-position model. The record is from RNAcentral.